This 162-nucleotide ribosomal RNA is filed under the name Bacillus sp. 81c. RNAcentral's name for it is "partial 16S ribosomal RNA". It matches the Rfam family "Bacterial small subunit ribosomal RNA", at positions 355 to 507 of the family's 1533-position model. The record is from RNAcentral. Lineage: Bacteria; Bacillati; Bacillota; Bacilli; Caryophanales; Bacillaceae.
UAGGGAAUCUUCCGCAAUGGACGAAAGUCUGACGGAGCAACGCCGCGUGAGUGAUGAAGGCUUUCGGGUCGUAAAACUCUGUUGUUAGGGAAGAACAAGUGCUAGUUGAAUAAGCUUGGCACCUUGACGGUACCUAACCAGAAAGCCACGGCUAACUACGUG